Molecule: ribosomal RNA, 375 nt
Filed under: uncultured bacterium
Lineage: Bacteria
Description: bacterial SSU rRNA
Rfam family: Bacterial small subunit ribosomal RNA
Source: RNAcentral
UAAUACGUAGGCAGCGAGCGUUGUUCGGAAUUACUGGGCGUAAAGAGUGUGUAGGCGGUGCUCUAAGUUCGGUGUGAAAUCUCCUGGCUUAACUGGGAGGGUGCGCCGAAAACUGGAGUGCUCGAGCGUGGGAGAGGAAAGCGGAAUUCCUGGUGUAGCGGUGAAAUGCGUAGAUAUCAGGAGGAACACCAGCGGUGUAGACGGCUUUCUGGACCAUUGCUGACGCUGAGACACGAAAGCGUGGGUAGCAAACAGGAUUAGAUACCCUGGUAGUCCACGCCCUAAACGAUGCAUACUUGGUGUCGGCCAUUCAGUUGGUCGGUGCCGGAGCUAACGCGUUAAGUAUGCCGCCUGGGGAGUACGGUCGCAAGGCUG